AAGGAAGGAAGGUUAGGUGCCAAGAGCGAGUGGCAAGAAACGCGGUCUGGGCACUGCUGCCAACCGCUCCGGUGACCCACACAGUGUUUGUGCCUCUCUGGGCAAGAGUGUCUUGUAAAACAGUGAGGAUGGUACCUGCCGGCCUCCCACUCGGGAUGGUGGAGAAUACGAAAUGAGGAAACCGAUUCUCCGAAAACCUGCUGGUUCCAGGGAAGUGGGAAGAGGCUGAAGGCACUGGAUCACGCGGAAUCACAUUGCUCAGAGCGCUCCACUGACUGUGACAUAAAGGAGACGCACGCUUGUGGGAAGAUUUUGACACAAAGGACCGCACUAGAAUCAUUCCAAUGCGGGAACCAAGAGGGGAGCCGUCCGUGCGUGCUGAGGCCGGUGACCGAGGCGUGGGAACAGAGAGCCCAGGAGACCCAACACGUGGAAACAGCCAGGUGUGGGGCGGGGUGGGUUCCGGCCGAAGUCACAGCGGGGCCGUGGAACAAGGUCAGGCCGGAAGGUGAGGUU
Molecule: long non-coding RNA, 516 nt
Organism: Eptesicus fuscus (big brown bat)
Lineage: Eukaryota; Metazoa; Chordata; Mammalia; Chiroptera; Vespertilionidae
Exons: 3
Source: RefSeq, a predicted model, not a curated record